RNAcentral lists this long non-coding RNA (248 nucleotides) under Actinidia chinensis (golden kiwifruit). RNAcentral's name for it is "long non-coding RNA (ACHI_LNC008687)". Lineage: Eukaryota; Viridiplantae; Streptophyta; Magnoliopsida; Ericales; Actinidiaceae. The record is from RNAcentral.
AACACUCCACUUUGUUUUACAGAAAAAUGUGAUCAAGUUGCUUGUUGAUGAUAUGUUAUGCUUACCUCGUGGCCUUAGGGUCUAGUCCAAAUGGGAUGUACUUAGCUCACACGCCAUAUGGUUCACUCAAUCCAUGAUGCUUUUGCAUGACAAGUUACAAACACAAAAGUCACUGGACCACAUAUAUUUGAUACUAUCAUGGCACAUUCAGAUCAUGGAACACACACGGCCCACAAAAGAGGGUAAAU